RNAcentral lists this transfer-messenger RNA (378 nucleotides) under bacterium. Its description in RNAcentral is "JADGAV01 sp015231825 Standard tmRNA". It matches the Rfam family "transfer-messenger RNA". Rfam says of the family: Bacterial tmRNA, also known as 10Sa RNA or SsrA, is named for its dual tRNA and mRNA-like properties. Its role is to liberate the mRNA from a stalled ribosome. The record is from RNAcentral. RNAcentral also lists the same sequence under 1 other name.
GGGGGUGUCUUGGCUUCGACUGCAAGUGGAAGUAAGGACAGCAAGCCGUGGGUGAUAUUCCGGGCCACGUAAAAAGGAGUAUCAAAAAUCUUAACUGCAAACAACGCAGAUUAUGCACCUGUUGAUAUGGCACUUGCUGCCUAAUCACUAAUAACAGGCGCUUUCAAAUGGGUUCGCCUGAGACGUGUUUGAAAGUGUCAUCUAAUUCGGGCUGGUUUGUUUGUUCCUCCAGCAAGCAAAUAAGAUUUUAGGAGGUGUUCCGGUGUGAGGCGGUUCACAACCAACAUCAUCGGCAAAAACGAAAAGCGUGAACUAAGCUUGUAGAACUCUUUAUGAAAACUCUGUAGGACGCGGGUUCGACUCCCGCCACCUCCACCA